GGGGUGUGCUCAGAGCAGAGGGCCCCAAGAAUGGCUUCUCUGUUUACAACGCACCCAACAGGAAUCCAGGGCCACUGUGAAGAGGGGCACAACACUUGUGGCCCCCCUAUGGGCAGAUGCCCUACACGU
Molecule: small nucleolar RNA, 129 nt
Organism: Fukomys damarensis (Damara mole-rat)
Lineage: Eukaryota; Metazoa; Chordata; Mammalia; Rodentia; Bathyergidae
Source: Ensembl